Molecule: ribosomal RNA, 468 nt
Filed under: uncultured bacterium
Lineage: Bacteria
Description: partial 16S ribosomal RNA
Rfam family: Bacterial small subunit ribosomal RNA
Source: RNAcentral
GACGAACGCUGGCGGCGUGCUUAACACAUGCAAGUCGAACGGAAAGGCCCUGCUUUUGUGGGGUGCUCGAGUGGCGAACGGGUGAGUAACACGUGAGUAACCUGCCCUUGACUUUGGGAUAACUUCAGGAAACUGGGGCUAAUACCGGAUAGGAGCUCCUGCUGCAUGGUGGGGGUUGAAAAGUUUCGGCGGUUGGGGAUGGACUCGCGGCUUAUCAGCUUGUUGGUGGGGUAGUGGCUUACCAAGGUUUUGACGGGUAGCCGGCCUGAGAGGGUGACCGGCCACAUUGGGACUGCGAUACGGCCCAGACUCCUACGGGAGGCAGCAGUGGGGAAUAUUGCACAAUGGGCGGAAGCCUGAUGCAGCAACGCCGCGUGCGGGAUGACGGCCUUCGGGUUGUAAACCGCUUUCGCCUGUGACGAAGCGUGAGUGACGGUAAUGGGUAAAGAAGCACCGGCUAACUACGUG